GCCCGGCCACGGAGCCGCCGAGCGCGCGCCCAGGACGGCGCACUGGCUGCGCGAGCCCGCAGCCGACGACGUCAGCUCCGGCGAGGAGCGGCGUGUCGACGACUGUGAGCAGCCGAUGUAUCAAAUGUCACUGACCAACUAUAAACCGACAUGAAAACCUGUUCGAUGGCACAUUGGGUAAAUAUACCGGGGAACAAGUGAAACUGCACUUACGGAAUAGUGCCGAACCGAUAUUCUGUCGCGCGCGACCGGUACC
Molecule: unclassified non-coding RNA, 256 nt
Filed under: Melitaea cinxia (Glanville fritillary)
Lineage: Eukaryota; Metazoa; Arthropoda; Insecta; Lepidoptera; Nymphalidae
Description: misc RNA ENSMCXG00005008860.1
Source: RNAcentral